UCUGUGGGACGAGAGCAAGUGAAUAA
Molecule: non-coding RNA, 26 nt
Filed under: Cricetulus griseus (Chinese hamster)
Lineage: Eukaryota; Metazoa; Chordata; Mammalia; Rodentia; Cricetidae
Source: RNAcentral